RNAcentral lists this ribosomal RNA (484 nucleotides) under uncultured bacterium. RNAcentral's name for it is "partial 16S ribosomal RNA". It matches the Rfam family "Bacterial small subunit ribosomal RNA", at positions 30 to 507 of the family's 1533-position model. The record is from RNAcentral.
AUUGAACGCUGGCGGCAGGCCUAACACAUGCAAGUCGAGCGGAUGAAGGGAGCUUGCUCCUGGAUUCAGCGGCGGACGGGUGAGUAAUGCCUAGGAAUCUGCCUGGUAGUGGUUGAUAACGUCCGGAAACGGGCGCUAAUACCGCAUACGUCCUGAGGGAGAAAGUGGGGGAUCUUCGGACCUCACGCUAUCAGAUGAUCCUAUGUCGGAUUAGCUAGUUGGUGGGGUAAAGGCCUACCAAGGCGACGAUCCGUAACUGGUCUGAGAGGAUGAUCAGUCACACUGGAACUGAGACACGGUCCAGACUCCUACGGGAGGCAGCAGUGGGGAAUAUUGGACAAUGGGCGAAAGCCUGAUCCAGCCAUGCCGCGUGUGUGAAGAAGGUCUUCGGAUUGUAAAGCACUUUAAGUUGGGAGGAAGGGCAGUAAGUUAAUACCUUGCUGUUUUGACGUUACCAACAGAAUAAGCACCGGCUAACUUCGUG